Molecule: transfer RNA, 71 nt
Filed under: Ovis aries (sheep)
Lineage: Eukaryota; Metazoa; Chordata; Mammalia; Artiodactyla; Bovidae
Rfam family: tRNA
About the family: Transfer RNA (tRNA) molecules are approximately 80 nucleotides in length. Their secondary structure includes four short double-helical elements and three loops (D, anti-codon, and T loops).
Source: Rfam by way of RNAcentral
UCUCUCGUGGCUCAGAUGGUAGAGAAUCUGCCUGCAAUGCAGGAGACUGGGGUUCAAACCCUGGGUCAGAA